CCUAAGGAGAGGAAGGUCAUUGCAGUGAGCUGGGCCCUGGCAUAUGCUUAUCGCACACUGCUAGAUAGUGUCGGGCAGCAGACAGAGGCAGGGGGGCAGGGAGAUAAAUCAGCAACAAUCCCAGUGACUCAGGCUGCAGCCAACAGCCCAGGCUCGAAGCCAGCAGCCAAACCAGAUAGUGAGCCCAAGCCAGCAUCUAAACCCAUGGCGGUUGCUACCAGCACUAGAAGUGGGAAAUGCAUGGACAAGACCAGUCGACCAGUGGAUGAUGAUGAUGAUGAAGGAGAAGGAACCUCCAUGCCUCCUGACAUAAAAUCAGGAGUCAAAGCAGCAGGUGCAAGAUCAGAUGCAAAUAUUGAGUCCUUUCCCCUGAAGGACCUUCGUGGCUUACGGAAGGAUUACACACGACGACCCGAUGAAUCCAUAAUUAGUUGGCUGGUCCGUCUCUGGGAUGCUGCAGGCGAGGCUACAAUUCUGGAUGGCACUGAAGCCAGGCAUUUGGGAUCCCUCUCACAGGAUCCUGUCAUCGACCAAGGAAUGAUGAGGGGGGCUAAUCCACACAGCCUCUGGGCAUGGGUCUUGGACAGUGUUGCACGAAGAUACCUGUGCACAGAUGAUCUCUAUAUGCAACAAACUCAGUGGAAGACCAUAGAGCAAGGGACCCAACGCCUGAGAGAAAUGGCAGUGGCAGAGAUUAUCUUCUCAGAUGAUGUAGCAACUAGGAACCCAGACUUAGUACCAUGCACGUCUGUGAUGUGGCGAAAACUCGUACGACUCGGGCCACAUGAAUAUGCUUCUGCAUUAGCCAUCAUGAAGAGGGAUGAGAGGGGUGAGACUGUGCUUGACAUGGCAAGGAAGCUCCGAGCAUAUGCUGUCCAUGGCCCGACACAUGCCAGAAUCGCAGCGGUAGAAACACGUCUGCAGAAUUUAGAGGAUAAGAUAGAGGAGAACCAUAAGAAGCUUAGAGAGGAGAUCAAAGAAGACCUUCUCCAAAUUUCAGCAGUACAUAUUCGAGGUUCUGUUAUCCAAGCAGAUGUUUCCCAGAUGGUGAGAGAAGGUACACCCCCUGAGCUGUGGUUUUACCUGCGUGAUUGUGGAGAAAACAUAAGAAGGUGGGAUAGGAAACCUACUGCUGUUCUGGCACAACGGGUGCGCGAACUGAAGGAAGCCACCAGAAGGAAAGCAGCUCCAGUUGCCCGUAGCCAAAUGGCCAGGUAUGAUGAUGAGGACACAUCUGAUCCCCUUGAAGGAACAUACAAAAUAUAUGCCCAGGGAAAGAAGGAUAACCAGGCUUAGAGGGGCCCUGCCUCUAGUCAGGUAGAGGCCAGGGAAAAUUUUGUUUUCUGGUCUGUGUGGAUUCGUUGGCCUGGCACAUUGGAACCACAAAGCUUUGGUGGAUACUGGUGCACAAUGCACAUUAAUCCCAUCAAGACAUGUGGGGCCAGAGUCUGUUUCUAUUGCUGGUGUGACAGGGGGA
Molecule: long non-coding RNA, 1477 nt
Filed under: Junco hyemalis (dark-eyed junco)
Lineage: Eukaryota; Metazoa; Chordata; Aves; Passeriformes; Passerellidae
Description: lncRNA (ENSJHYG00000005972.1)
Source: RNAcentral